This is a long non-coding RNA of Colias croceus (clouded yellow), 741 nucleotides long. RefSeq lists it as uncharacterized. The record is from RefSeq and is a predicted model, not a curated record. Lineage: Eukaryota; Metazoa; Arthropoda; Insecta; Lepidoptera; Pieridae. The transcript is spliced from 2 exons.
UGAAACAAAGGACGGUUGAAACAACUCGAAUAUCUCGCAAACCGUUGGUGGGGGGGUUAGGGGUCCAAGGGGAAAAUGAAGCGCACAACUGUUCUAAACACGAACCACAAUGUUGCGUCAAUCUCCGCGCGCUUCAGCUGAUUUUAUAAGACCCUAUUGUGUUUUUAUGACCAAAAAUGCCGAUAGUACGUGUAAGAGAGAUUUCGGGAAGACAAAUAGACUUAUCGAAGUACAAAGACGCAUAUGAGGAGGUGAAAACCGGAUAAUCAUUGCGAAAAGCGGCAGAGAAGCACGAUUAUUCGCUUCUAAGGUAAAUUCGAAUGCCAGAUGACUCUAGCGAGCAAGAAAAUAAAAAAAUGGGAUGUAAUAGAGGAUAUAACAAUAGAAGGUAUAAUAAUAGAAGGCGAAAAAUCAGGAAGUCAGUAUUUCCACUGACACACAAGAUAAGGAAGUGAUAAGAAAAGAGCAAGAAUUAAUAUUGAAACGAACAAGAGCUAAGCAAGUGAAGAAGCGACUGGAUAGAGGAAAAAGGAAGAAAUUUGAAGAAGGAAAAUGUCAAAGGAACACCAUAAAAGCAAAAAAGAAAAAUGUACAAGAGGAGAUAUCAUCAGAAGAUGAGUAGUAGGUACUUCGGUCUUGUUUGUAUGUUACCAUAUUUAGAGAGCAGACCUUAUUGUAAAAGAGUUAUUUAAUUAUUGUUAGAUUUAAAAUAAACAAUCAAUAAAACAUAUUUUAAUGCUA